GAUGAACGCUAGCUACAGGCUUAACACAUGCAAGUCGAGGGGCAGCACGGAGAUAGCUUGCUAUCUUGGGUGGCGACCGGCGCACGGGUGAGUAACGCGUAUCCAACCUGCCCAUUACUCAGGGAUAGCCUUGCGAAAGUAAGAUUAAUAUCUGAUGUUGUUAAAAACCCGCAUGAGUUUUUAACCAAAGAUUUAUUGGUAAUGGAUGGGGAUGCGUGACAUUAGGUAGUAGGUGAGGUAACGGCUCACCUAGCCGACGAUGUCUAGGGGUUCUGAGAGGAAGGUCCCCCCACACUGGAACUGAGACACGGUCCAGACUCCUACGGGAGGCAGCAGUAGGGAAUCUUUCACAAUGGGCGAAAGCCUGAUGGAGCAACGCCGCGUGCAGGAUGACGGCC
RNAcentral lists this ribosomal RNA (398 nucleotides) under uncultured bacterium. RNAcentral describes it as "bacterial SSU rRNA". It matches the Rfam family "Bacterial small subunit ribosomal RNA", at positions 28 to 416 of the family's 1533-position model. The record is from RNAcentral.